RNAcentral lists this ribosomal RNA (408 nucleotides) under uncultured Gammaproteobacteria bacterium. RNAcentral describes it as "bacterial SSU rRNA". It matches the Rfam family "Bacterial small subunit ribosomal RNA", at positions 46 to 458 of the family's 1533-position model. The record is from RNAcentral. Lineage: Bacteria; Pseudomonadati; Pseudomonadota; Gammaproteobacteria.
GCUUAACACAUGCAAGUCGAGCGGUAACAGAUCUAGCUUGCUAGAUGCUGACGAGCGGCGGACGGGUGAGUAACGCGUAGAUAGCUGCCUAGUAGUGGGGGAUAGCCCGGGGAAACUCGGAUUAAUACCGCAUACGCUCUACGGAGGAAAGGGGGCUUCGGCUCUCGCUAUUAGAUGUGUCUGCGUGGGAUUAGCUAGUUGGUGAGGUAAAGGCUCACCAAGGCGACGAUCUCUAGCUGGUCUGAGAGGAUGAUCAGCCACACUGGGACUGAGACACGGCCCAGACUCCUACGGGAGGCAGCAGUGGGGAAUAUUGCACAAUGGGCGCAAGCCUGAUGCAGCCAUGCCGCGUGUGUGAAGAAGGCUCUAGGGUUGUAAAGCACUUUCAGUAGGGAGGAAGGCCUCGUA